Small nucleolar RNA from Medicago truncatula (barrel medic), 85 nucleotides. It matches the Rfam family "Small nucleolar RNA SNORD34". Rfam says of the family: snoRNA U34 is found in intron 5 of the ribosomal protein L13a gene in humans. The record is from Rfam. NCBI's taxonomy places the organism in Eukaryota, Viridiplantae, Streptophyta, Magnoliopsida, Fabales, Fabaceae.
UGAGGUCUGUGAUGUGUUUUUAUUUGCCUACAUUGUCUGAUAAUCUUUUUUAGAUUUUGAUGUGUUUAAAUAACCUGAGACCUCU